GAAGAGAAUGCUGUGGUUCUGC
This 22-nucleotide microRNA is filed under the name Gallus gallus (chicken). RNAcentral describes it as "gga-miR-6631-5p". The record is from miRBase by way of RNAcentral. Lineage: Eukaryota; Metazoa; Chordata; Aves; Galliformes; Phasianidae.